Molecule: ribosomal RNA, 496 nt
Filed under: Serida sp. NS-2013
Lineage: Eukaryota; Metazoa; Arthropoda; Insecta; Hemiptera; Lophopidae
Description: partial 16S ribosomal RNA
Source: RNAcentral
ACAAAAACAUGUCUUUUAGGAAAAAUUAGAAGUCUAACCUGCUCAAUGAUUUUUUAAAUAGCCGCAGUAAAUUAACUGUGCAAAGGUAGCAUAAUAAUUAGUCUUUUAAUUGAGGUCUGGAAUGAAUGGUUGAACGAGAAAUAUACUUUAUUUAAUUAAUUUUUUUGAAUUUGGUUUUUUAGUUAAAAAUCUAAAAUAUAUAAGAGUGACGAUAAGACCCUAUAGAUCUUUAUAAUUUUUAAUUUAUUUAUUUUUUUUGUUGUAUUAUUUAUUUAAAUAAAAAUUUAUUUUGUUGGGGUGAUAAUUAAAAUUUUAAACUUUAAUAUUUUUAAACAAAUAUAUUUGGUUAAGUGAUCCUUUUUUUUUGAUUAUUAGAUAAAGAUACCUUAGGGAUAACAGCGUUAUAUAUUUGGAGAGUUCACAUUUAUAAAUAUGUUUGCGACCUCGAUGUUGGAUUAAAAUUUAGUUGUGGGGUAGGUUUUACAAUUUAGGUCGU